RNAcentral lists this transfer RNA (71 nucleotides) under Dipodomys ordii (Ord's kangaroo rat). It matches the Rfam family "tRNA". Rfam says of the family: Transfer RNA (tRNA) molecules are approximately 80 nucleotides in length. The record is from Rfam by way of RNAcentral. Lineage: Eukaryota; Metazoa; Chordata; Mammalia; Rodentia; Heteromyidae.
GGGAAGGUGGCUCAGUGGUAGAGCACUUGCCUUGCAUGCAAAAGGACUUAGUUCGAUUUCUCAGCACCCCA